GACGAACGCUGGCGGCGUGCUUAACACAUGCAAGUCGAGCGGUAAGGCCCUUUCGGGGGUACACGAGCGGCGAACGGGUGAGUAACACGUGGGUGACCUGCCCUCAGCUCUGGGAUAAGCCUGGGAAACCGGGUCUAAUACUGGAUAUGACUCCAUGACGCAUGUUGUGGGGUGGAAAGCCUUGUGCGGCUGAGGAUGGGCCCGCGGCCUAUCAGCUUGUUGGUGGGGUGANGGCCUACCAAGGCGACGACGGGUAGCCGGCCUGAGAGGGUGUUCGGCCACACUGGGACUGAGACACGGCCCAGACUCCUACGGGAGGCAGCAGUGGGGAAUAUUGCGCAAUGGGCGUAAGCCUGACGCAGCGACGCCGCGUGGGGAUGAAGGCCUGG
Molecule: ribosomal RNA, 389 nt
Filed under: uncultured bacterium
Lineage: Bacteria
Description: bacterial SSU rRNA
Rfam family: Bacterial small subunit ribosomal RNA
Source: RNAcentral